Cavia porcellus (domestic guinea pig) is the source of this 2583-nucleotide long non-coding RNA. RefSeq lists it as uncharacterized. The record is from RefSeq and is a predicted model, not a curated record. The transcript is spliced from 3 exons. Lineage: Eukaryota; Metazoa; Chordata; Mammalia; Rodentia; Caviidae.
AUAAAGCCCGCGGUUUUUGUCCUGAACCUUCCAUAGGGUGCUUGCAUGUCUUUGGCAGCCCUCCCAUGCCCGCAUAAAGACCUUUUUCCUUUUUUUCUGUUUUUCUCUCUUGUGCAUCAGAAGACAAAACAGUUUCCUUCUGAUCUGUUCUGAUCCUAGAAACAUGAGCCUUUCAUUAUGAAGAAAAGACACUGUACUGUUCAGGGAGAAUCACCUUGCUGACACCCAGGCACUUGUUAAAUCAGAUGCUCUAAGAUGCCCUUUACACUUUUGUCCAGGCAUCUAAGUCUACUUUGCUGUUCCAUGAUAUCUCCAUGAUUUCCACUUUUAAAGUGAAAGCUGGGUCAUAUCUAUAAUUCUCUUUUGUCUUAAAAUGCAAAGAAUGGGCUUCUGAAAAUAGUGGAAUUAAAAGAAAAGAUUUAGUAUGACCCAAGAGAUGUACAAAAAUUGCUCAGGUAAUUGACAUCUGAUUUCUGACUUCCUAAUAAUGCAUGCAGAUAGCUGAAUUAACUUCUGAAAAACCUGCUCUGACCACAAUCUCCACUAAGGGAUUCCCAUACAUGGCUUUAAAUGACAGAAGUAAUAGCUUGGUUUUACAGCAUAUGACCUGUCAGUUUCAAUCAAUUAUACCAGUAGAAGGCAUCAGAUUAGCAAAUCCACUGACUAGGCAGCAGUGGGUAGCCUGUAACAUCAAGGCAUAAAAGCUUGCCAAACAUAAAACUUUCUCGGGAAUUUGAACUAGAAUUAAGGGAGAUGGUCGGUUAGUUUGUUGAAGAAACAGAAGUGAGAUAGCACAUGGAGAGAAGGUAGAACACAGGAAUUAUUAUAUGGAAGAGUCCAGGUGCAUGUAAUAACCUUUAUCACACAAAUCACAAGAGUAAUAGCUGACCAUAUUAAUGUUUUUGGUUGGAUCAUUGAACACAACUGUUUGCAGUCUCUCUGUUUGAAUGUUCACGUUGUAUGCUUUGAUACUGUGACUUGAGCAACUAUCUCUAAGUUGAUAAUGUGUAACCUAUUAACUGGUGAUUUCUUACUGGGUUUUUUUUUUUUUUUUUUUUUUUGUAGUUCUGUAUACUUGUACUCUUACACCGCUUUGUUUUGUUUUGUUUUUUCUCUUUUUCCUUUUAAAUAAAAUUUAAAAAAUAUCACAAGUAUACAGGAAGCCAUGGUUAGCCUAGGCAGGAAGCAGAGACAGAGAAGAAAUAGGUCAGCGUUAGUUAUAGGGUUCAGAGUAGGAAUUAAUGGGGUUUGGAAACUGUGAGAUUGUUUGAUCUUAGUUCCUGUAUUCCCUUGAGGCUGGGACGAAGCUGACUUAAUUACUUCAACUUUUCUCUGUGGACACUGAGGUGCAAAAAGUAGCAAAGCCAUUUUUUUCUUUAGGUUCUGAAUCAUUUCUCCAUCAAAAGAGAUAUAAAUUUUACCCCAAAUUCCAUAUGCAUAAAUAAUAUCUUCAUUCUAGAGCUCUGCGUAAUUUGACCCAAGUCCUCAUUUCGUUGAGCUCUAGAAAAACUUAAUCUCAGUCACUAUGGAGUUCUCAUCCCAAAUGAGGUCAGGGCGGGGAUGGCACCGGUAACUGGUUGUGUGUCCAUGUGAGCAGCUAAUCAUGAGGCCUCCAGGGUCCCCUCAAUGCCUGUCCUGCACAUCUCCCAUGUCACAGGGCAUCAGAAUCUUCACCACGACCAGAAACCCAGUAUCAGAACCCUUAUUUAUGAGUGUAAACUGCAACCAUACUCUUGGAAGUCUGGCCGUGAUGGGACCAUUGCCCUGGAAAAAAAGCAGUGACCAGGAUUUGUCUUUUUCCCUUCCAUGUUGAAAUCUUUGAGUUUUCAGUUGGAAAGAGUCUGUUCCUAUAAAAUAGGAAGCUGAACAGAAAGUCCUGUACAUAUAGGAAUUUAUAACUAUAACUUGAACACUUAGACACACAUACACAUGUAUGUGUACACAUAUGUUUUUAUGUGUAUUGAAUUUUUCAAGAUGUCUUUUUCUUUUCAGAGUUGAACACUGAAUUGUGUUGAUUGAAUGCACCCUGUGUAUAAAGUAACACAGUAUGCAACAUCUCAGCAGGUGCUGGACGUGCGUGGUAUCUUAAGAUGGGCUGACAAGGCUCAUGACAGCUUAUUCAAAGCUGGGAGAAUACAUUUGAAAGAAGGUUUUUGCGUCUGACAUUAGACCUGAUCAGAAGGAUGAUAGGACAGCUGCUGAGCUCGGGAGCACCCUCUGAAAAGUCAUGGUUCAACCAGGAAUCUGCAUCUAACUACAUGGGAGACAAUUUCUCACUCCAAGGAAUCUGCGCAGAAGGCGUCCCAGACCCUACUUCCGGGUGGCUCUCUACAGUACAUGCAGAGAAUCCAGUCCUGGCUCCUGAUGACCAUCAAGAUGGAACCUUUUGGAGGACUGAGAAUUCAUUGUUGGGUCCCCAGACUCCUACCCAGAGUUUUCCACUAGUGGAUAAAUGUUUGACAUAACUAAUAAGUCUCUUUCCCUCACACAUAUACACCCUAGGGCUGGUGACUUGUGGCCUUCAAAAGUUCAAGACUGCCUUCCUGAACUACUGGGUUUAUGAUCCCAUCCCUCAGACCAAAA